CCUACGGGGGGCAGCAGUGGGGAAUCUUAGACAAUGGGCGCAAGCCUGAUCUAGCCAUGCCGCGUGGACGAUGAAGGCCUUAGGGUUGUAAAGUCCUUUCAGCUGGGAAGAUAAUGACGGUACCAGCAGAAGAAGCCCCGGCUAACUCCGUGCCAGCAGCCGCGGUAAUACGGAGGGGGCUAGCGUUGUUCGGAAUUACUGGGCGUAAAGCGCACGUAGGCGGAUUAUUAAGUGAGGGGUGAAAUCCCAGGGCUCAACCCUGGAACUGCCUUUCAUACUGGUAGUCUUGAGUUCGAGAGAGGUGAGUGGAAUUCCGAGUGUAGAGGUGAAAUUCGUAGAUAUUCGGAGGAACACCAGUGGCGAAGGCGGCUCACUGGCUCGAUACUGACGCUGAGGUGCGAAAGCGUGGGGAGCAAACAGGAUUAGAUACCCCCGUAGUC
This 440-nucleotide ribosomal RNA is filed under the name uncultured bacterium. Its description in RNAcentral is "bacterial SSU rRNA". It matches the Rfam family "Bacterial small subunit ribosomal RNA", at positions 338 to 795 of the family's 1533-position model. The record is from RNAcentral.